AUUGAACGCUGGCGGCAUGCCUAACACAUGCAAGUCGAACGAGUGGCGGACGGGUGAGUAAUUUCUGGGAACCUGCCUGAUGGAGGGGGAUAACUACUGGAAACGUUAGCUAAUACCGCAUACCAUCAGAUGUGCCCAGAUGGGAUUAGCUAGUUGGUGGGGUAACGGCUCACCAAGGCGACGAUCCCUAGCUGGUCUGAGAGGAUGACCAGCCACACUGGAACGGAGACACGGUCCAGACUCCUACGGGAGGCAGCAGUGGGGAAUAUUGCACAAUGGGCGAAAGCCUGAUGCAGCCAGGCCGCGUGUAUGAAGAAGGCCUUCGGGUUGUAAAGUACUUUCAGCGGGGAGGCGUUACCCGCAGAAGAAGCACCGGCUAACUACGUGCCAGCAGCCGCGGUAAUAC
RNAcentral lists this ribosomal RNA (406 nucleotides) under uncultured bacterium. RNAcentral's name for it is "partial 16S ribosomal RNA". It matches the Rfam family "Bacterial small subunit ribosomal RNA", at positions 30 to 526 of the family's 1533-position model. The record is from RNAcentral.